RNAcentral lists this long non-coding RNA (304 nucleotides) under Lepisosteus oculatus (spotted gar). RNAcentral's name for it is "lncRNA (ENSLOCG00000021763.1)". The record is from RNAcentral. Lineage: Eukaryota; Metazoa; Chordata; Actinopteri; Semionotiformes; Lepisosteidae.
AUGGACUGGAAGAUGGCAGCAGAGGAAUGCAGGGGGGCAGUCCUCCAGCCUCUUGAGGGGGCUCACUCUGUGCCAGCUCCCCCACACAGCACCCACAGACGCCUGCCUCACUGUGAGAAAAGGCAGGGGCAGUGGCUGAUGCCUUGCGCUCUGGCAGGGAUAGUCAGACUAGUUCCUGGCUGCAGCAGGGUGUCCGAGGAGUUUUCCAGCAGGGCCCCAUCCCAGCAGGACACUGUGAAACAGCUUUGAACUUGGCACUCAGAUCGUGAGGGCUCUCAUUCCAGCAGAGAGCUCUCAGCACAGC